GACCAAGAAGUCUAACAUGUGUGCGAGUCAUUGGGUAUAUUGUUGAAACCUAAGGGCGCAAUUAAAAUAACUAUUUUAUGGGAUUACAAGUGAAUUAAAUUUCAUUUCUUCAUCCCGGGGCGUUCUAUACGAACAUGGUGCAAGCAAUUGAACCCUCUGUUCAAGAGCGUACCUUGAGCAUACAUGCUGUGACCCGAAAGAUGGUGAACUAUACCUGAUCAGAUCGAAGCCAGGAGAAAUUCUGGUGGAGGAUCGAAACAGUUCUGACGUGCAAAUCGAUUGUCAGAAUUGGGUAUAGGGGCGAAAGACCAAUCGAACCAUCUAGUAGCUGGUUCCCUCCGAAGUUUCCCUCAGGAUAGCUGGCGCAAAGAAUUAUAUUGUAUAUAAUCUUAUCUGGUAAAGCGAAUGAUUAGAGGCCUUGGGGCCGAAACGACCUCAACCUAUUCUCAAACUUUAAAUGGGUAAGAACCUCAUCUUUCUUGAUCUGAAGAUAUUGGGGUUUAGAUAUAUUGUGCCCAGUGGGCCACUUUUGGUAAGCAGAACUGGCGCUGUGGGAUGAACCAAACAUGAUGUUACGGCGCCUAAAUUAAUGACUCAUAUUGAUACCAUGAAAGGCGUUGGUUGCUUAAAACAGCAGGACGGUGGACAUGGAAGUCGUAAUCCGCUAAGGAGUGUGUAACAACUCACCUGCCGAAGCAACUAGCCCUUAAAAUGGAUGGCGCUCAAGUCAUAUGCCUAUACAUCAUCGCUAGAAUAAAUAUUGUUGGCCAUCUGGUCAUCAUUGUGAAAUUCUAGUGAGUAGGAGGGUACAAUGGUGUGCGCAGAAGUGUUUGGCGUGAGCCUGCAUGAAGCCGCCAUUGGCACAGAUCUUGGUGGUAGUAGCAAAUAAUCGAAUGAGAUCUUGGAGGACUGAAGUGGAGAAGGGUUUCGUGUGAACAGUGGUUGAUCACGAGUUAGUCGGUCCUAAGCUUUAUGCGAAAGCUGUUUAAUUUAUGUUACACACAAUUUUUUGUUGUACAUAAUUCAAUAAAAGCGAAAGGGAAUACGGUUCCAAUUCCGUAACCUGUUGAGUAUACGUUUGUUUAUUAAAAAUGGGUCUUAUUACACUCAUCCUGGUAACAGGAACGACCAUAGAGAAGCCUUCGAGAGAUACUGGAAGAGUUUUCUUUUCUGCUAAACAAACGUAUCACCAUGGAAGUCUUUUAUAGAGAGAUAUGGUGGAUGGCUUGGAAGAGCAUGACAUUUACUGUUGUGUCAGUAUUUUCUCCUUGGACCUUGAAAAUCUAUGGUGGGGCCACGCAAACUUCUCAACAGACCGUACCGAUAUCCGCAG
This 1333-nucleotide ribosomal RNA is filed under the name Scatopsciara necopinata. RNAcentral's name for it is "eukaryotic LSU rRNA". It matches the Rfam family "Eukaryotic large subunit ribosomal RNA", at positions 664 to 1859 of the family's 3401-position model. The record is from RNAcentral. Lineage: Eukaryota; Metazoa; Arthropoda; Insecta; Diptera; Sciaridae.